Molecule: ribosomal RNA, 809 nt
Filed under: uncultured bacterium
Lineage: Bacteria
Description: bacterial SSU rRNA
Rfam family: Bacterial small subunit ribosomal RNA
Source: RNAcentral
UCGAGGGGCAGCGGGGCGGCAGGCUUGCCUGCCGCCGCCGGCGACCGGCCCAUUGGUGAGUAACACGUAUGCAACCUGCCCGUGGCAGGGGGAUAAGCGGGGGAAACCCCGUCUAAUACCGCGUAACGCGGCCUAGGGACAUCCCAAGGCCGCCAAAGGGAGCAAUCCCGGCCACGGAUGGGCAUGCGGCGCAUUAGCUAGUCGGCGGGGUAACGGCCCACCGAGGCGACGAUGCGUAGGGGUUCUGAGAGGAAGGCCCCCCACACUGGUACUGAGACACGGACCAGACUCCUACGGGAGGCAGCAGUGAGGAAUAUUGGUCAAUGGGCGCGAGCCUGAACCAGCCAAGUCGCGUGAGGGAGGACGGCCCUACGGGUUGUAAACCUCUUUUGCCGGGGAGCAACGGGCGCCACGUGUGGCGCCACUGAGAGUACCCGGAGAAAAAGCAUCGGCUAACUCCGUGCCAGCAGCCGCGGUAAUACGGAGGAUGCGAGCGUUAUCCGGAUUUAUUGGGUUUAAAGGGUGCGUAGGCGGAUCGUUAAGUCAGUGGUCAAAUUGAGGGGCUCAACCCCUUCCCGCCAUUGAAACUGGCGAUCUUGAGUGGAAGAGAAGUAUGCGGAAUGCGUGGUGUAGCGGUGAAAUGCAUAGAUAUCACGCAGAACCCCGAUUGCGAAGGCAGCAUGCCGGCUUCCUACUGACGCUGAAGCACGAAAGCGUGGGGAUCGAACAGGAUUAGAUACCCUGGUAGUCCACGCGGUAAACGAUGAGCGCUAGGUGUCCGGGGGGAAUGGCCCCUGGGUGCCACAGCG